This 501-nucleotide ribosomal RNA is filed under the name uncultured bacterium. RNAcentral describes it as "partial 16S ribosomal RNA". It matches the Rfam family "Bacterial small subunit ribosomal RNA", at positions 30 to 523 of the family's 1533-position model. The record is from RNAcentral.
AUUGAACGCUGGCGGCAGGCUUAACACAUGCAAGUCGAGCGGGGGAAGGUAGCUUGCUACCGGACCUAGCGGCGGACGGGUGAGUAAUGCUUAGGAAUCUGCCUAUUAGUGGGGGACAACAUCUCGAAAGGGAUGCUAAUACCGCACACGUACUACGGGAGAAAGCAGGGGAUCUUCGGACCUUGCGCUAAUAGAUGAGCCUAAGUCGGAUGAGCUAGUUGGUGGGGGAAAGGGCUACCAAGGCGCCGAUCUGUAGCGGGUCGGAGAGGAUGAUCCGGCACACUGGGACUGAGACACGGCUCAGACUCCUACGGGAGGCAGCAGUUGGGAAUAUUGGACAAUGGGGGGAACCCUGAUCCAGCCAUGCCGCGUGUGUGAAGAAGGCCUUAUGGUUGUAAAGCACUUUAAGCGAGGAGGAGGCUACUUUAGUUAAUACCUAGAGAUAGUGGACGUUACUCGCAGAAUAAGCACCGGCCAACUCUGUGCCAGCAGCCGCAGUAA